GUGUCUCCAAAAAAAUAUGGAAACUCGAGAAAUUCAGACAAUAAAAAUAACUGUGAAUAAUUAACUGACCCUCACACUUCUACACGCACACACGCAUACAUAAAGGCAACGAGGGUAUAGCAUAAAAAGAAAUUGAACUGUACUGGCUGAAGACGACGAUAAAGAAAGCCAACAAGCAUAAAGAACUUAUACAAAAGCAAACCAAAAAUAAAAAAUAUGCAAAGCAAACAAUAAUAAAAAAAUAAAAAUAAAAAACAAAAAAAAAAACACUGAACUUUGAAAUACAACGUUAGUACAACAAACAAUAAAGAAAAAACUUUGUCUUCGUCUGCGUUUGGACUUGGACUUGAUGGUCGUCUACUCUUCGAUGGUAGAGCAGCGUAAACGUAGAGAAGCGUAGCAUCAGUGUGCACAACACGCACGUACGGACGCGCACACACACACGCACACUCAAACUCACACAUAAAUAACAGCUUGCAGGAGCCUUCAAACGCAAACGCAUACACAAACAAGCACACCCACACACCUACAAACUCCAUUUUCUACAUCACUUCGUGCCUGUGCAUCAGCCUAGUGGCUCAGCACCUGCCUCAGCCACAGCGACGGCUUCAGUAUCAGCCUCACUGCGUCGUACUCAGUGAUUCAGUAACAGUAUCAGUAUAAACGGCUUCAACCCAAACGUCAACCUACCCGCAAUAACUAACAUCAUUGGCGUCCAACAUCAACGCGCUCAGUAGUGCUGUAGUGCUGUAGCGUCGGGUACACAACAGUAGGAGAGUUGUGAGUGCACGCGUGUAUGUGUUUAUGUGUAUUUCUGGCUGAGUGCUGUGCUCGAGUUCUGCUACUGUUGCUGCUCACUCACUCCAAAAAUCUGUUAUUGAUUUUGGAUUCAACAACAUCACGCCAUCCUCGUUCCUAGAGAGAGAGAGAGAGAGAGAGAGGCAUAGAGAUAUAGAGCGAGGCAGCCACAAUAACACAAGACAUUCCAUAGUCGAAUACAUCCAGUGAAUGAAGCAAACACAUACAUUGUGUUUGUUGAAGUGCGUGUGAGUGCGGUUUCUGAGGGUGCAACGGGCUCGGCAGAGGAUUCGAAAAACUGGAGACGUUGUCAGUGCCAAAGAAGAGAAACCAGCAGCCUGCAAAACUGAGCGACCUCGUCAUCUGUCCGACCGACUGCCCGAACAACAGCCCAAAGAAUCGCCCGCCCGGCACUAGCAGCAGUCAGCCAGGCUGCCAGUCAGCCAAACAGCCAGGAAGAUGCUGACAAUAUUGUAAACACGCAUGCUUAAAAAAGAUUUAUUUAUAUGAAAAAAUA
Ceratitis capitata (Mediterranean fruit fly) is the source of this 1315-nucleotide long non-coding RNA. RefSeq lists it as uncharacterized. The record is from RefSeq and is a predicted model, not a curated record. The transcript has 3 exons. NCBI's taxonomy places the organism in Eukaryota, Metazoa, Arthropoda, Insecta, Diptera, Tephritidae.